AUUGAACGCUGGCGGCAUGCCUUACACAUGCAAGUCGAACGGCAGCGGACCUUCGGGUGCCGGCGAGUGGCGAACGGGUGAGUAGUAUAUCGGAACGUACCUUUCAGUGGGGGAUAACGUAGCGAAAGUUACGCUAAUACCGCAUAUUCUGUGAGCAGGAAAGCAGGGGAUCGCAAGACCUUGCGCUGAUUGAGCGGCCGAUAUCAGAUUAGCUAGUUGGUGAGGUAAAGGCUCACCAAGGCGACGAUGUCUAGCUGGUCUGAGAGGAUGAUCAGCCACACUGGGACUGAGACACGGCCCAGACUCCUACGGGAGGCAGCAGUAGGGAAUAUUGGACAAUGGGGGGAACCCUGAUCCAGCCAUGCCGCGUGAGGGAAGAAGGUCCUCUGGAUUGUAAACCUCUUUUGGCAGGAACAACCUGCGCUAUACGCGCAGCUGAGGGUACCUGCAGAUAAGCACCGGCUAACUCCGUG
Molecule: ribosomal RNA, 473 nt
Filed under: uncultured bacterium
Lineage: Bacteria
Description: bacterial SSU rRNA
Rfam family: Bacterial small subunit ribosomal RNA
Source: RNAcentral